This 253-nucleotide ribosomal RNA is filed under the name uncultured bacterium. RNAcentral's name for it is "partial 16S ribosomal RNA". It matches the Rfam family "Bacterial small subunit ribosomal RNA", at positions 524 to 776 of the family's 1533-position model. The record is from RNAcentral.
AACGUAGGAGACAAACGUUAUCCGGAGUUACUGGGCGUAAAGGGCGUGUAGGCGGUUUGUUAAGUCUGGCGUGAAAGCUCUCGGCUAAACCGGGAGAGGUCGUUGGAUACUGGCAGACUAGAGGACGGUAGAGGCGUGUGGAAUUCCGGGUGUAGUGGUGAAAUGCGUAGAGAUCGGCAGGAACACCCAGGGGGAAACCAGCCGACUGGGCAUUAACUGACGCUGAGGUGCGAGAGCGUGGGGAGCGAACCGG